UAGGGAAUCUUCCGCAAUGGACGAAAGUCUGACGGAGCAACGCCGCGUGAGUGAAGAAGGAUUUCGGUUCGUAAAACUCUGUUGUUAGGGAAGAAAAAAUGUAUAGUAACUAUAUACAAAAGAGACGGUACCUAACCAGAAAGCCACGGCUAACUACGUGCCAGCAGCCGCGGUAAUACGAAGGGGGCUAGCGUUGUUCGGAUUUACUGGGCGUAAAGCGCACGUAGGCGGACUUUUAAGUCAGGGGUGAAAUCCCGGGGCUCAACCCCGGAUCUGCCUUUGAUACUGGAAGUCUUGAGGAUGGUAGAGGUGAGUGGAAUUCCGAGUGUAGAGGUGAAAUUCGUAGAUAUUCGGAGGAACACCAGUGGCGAAGGCGGCUCACUGGACCAUUACUGACGCUGAGGUGCGAAAGCGUGGGGAGCAAACAGG
This 429-nucleotide ribosomal RNA is filed under the name Verrucomicrobiota bacterium. Its description in RNAcentral is "Verrucomicrobia bacterium partial 16S ribosomal RNA". It matches the Rfam family "Bacterial small subunit ribosomal RNA", at positions 355 to 776 of the family's 1533-position model. Lineage: Bacteria; Pseudomonadati; Verrucomicrobiota. The record is from RNAcentral.